UAGCUCAGUUGGUAGAGCAUGGUGUUUGCAACGCCAGGGUUGUGGGUUCGAUUCCAAU
This 58-nucleotide transfer RNA is filed under the name Salmo salar (Atlantic salmon). It matches the Rfam family "tRNA", at positions 8 to 63 of the family's 71-position model. Rfam says of the family: Transfer RNA (tRNA) molecules are approximately 80 nucleotides in length. Lineage: Eukaryota; Metazoa; Chordata; Actinopteri; Salmoniformes; Salmonidae. The record is from Rfam by way of RNAcentral. RNAcentral also lists the same sequence under 1 other name.